Molecule: long non-coding RNA, 914 nt
Organism: Bos taurus (domestic cattle)
Lineage: Eukaryota; Metazoa; Chordata; Mammalia; Artiodactyla; Bovidae
Source: Ensembl
GGAGCAGGCAGGUCUGUGGACAGUCCCAAAGUGUUUGAGCUCUUCCCUUGGGAGCAGCCCUCUGCUCGCUGCUCUGGUUCCGCCUGCUUCAGCCUUCUCCCACUGCAUCCCAUCGUGCCUUGCCCACUUGUAAUUUCAUGGCUGCAGUCACCAUCCACGGUGAUUUUGGAGCCCAAGGAAAUAAAACCUGUCACUGAUUCCACUUUGCCCCAUCUCUUUGCCAUGAUCUGGAUGCCAUGAUCUUCAUUUUUUGAAUUUUGAGUUUUAAGCUAGCUUUUUCACUGUUCUCUUUUACCUUCACCAAGAGGCUCUUUAGUUCCUCUUUACUUUCUGCCAUUUGAGUGGUAUCAUCUACAUAUCUGAGGCUGUUGAUGUUUCUUCAGGCAGUCUUGUUUCCCGCUUGUGAGACAUCCAGCCCGGCAUUUCGCAUGAUGUACUCUGCAUAGAAGUUACAUAAGCAGGGUGACAAUGUACAGCCUGGACAUAACUCCUUUCCCAAUUUUGAACCAGUCAGUGGUUCCAUGUCUGGUUCUAACUGUUGCUUCUUCUCCUGAAUACAGGUUUCUCAGGAGGCAGGCCUUCCCAGAGCCUCUGUCCCUUCAUGGCUGCAAAGACUCUAAACCAGCAUGUCCCGAGCUCCUCAUCCUCCUCCCAGUCAGGCCCCUGACACAGGGAGUCCACUUACUCCUCUCGACAACCUGGUGAAGGAGACGGUGUUGGCCCGAUCCUACAGAUCAAGCCUCCGUGACUCAGUGCUCAGCUCACCCAUUAAGUGCCAGAGCCAGUGUGGCCUCCGGAGACCUUCGUGGUGCUCCAGAGCAGCUAAACCACAGCAUCUGGCUUGUUGCUGGGACUCUGGUGCUUUGGGCCACUCUUCCCCCCAUCCCCCCACCACUGCACCCAGUUCCUUCAAC